Molecule: non-coding RNA, 1467 nt
Organism: Microcebus murinus (gray mouse lemur)
Lineage: Eukaryota; Metazoa; Chordata; Mammalia; Primates; Cheirogaleidae
Source: RefSeq, a predicted model, not a curated record
CCCUCUAGGGUGAGCAAGACAGCUGCUGCUGACGCCCCUGCCUAGCCUGGGAUUCUCCCUUUAAGAAUUAUUCCUUUGCUUGGCCAACACCCCCAGCACCUUGUCCUUUGCAGGUGGCCAUUGCAGGGCAGGCAUGGCCUGGAAGAGGUGAGGUGAGGGAGGAGCGCUCUCCCGGAGUUGAUGUGCUCCGUCAGCAAGUUAUCAGUUUGGUGGGUGCAGGGAGAUUAUUGCCCCGAGGAGGAAAGAAUACAGGACAGGCAAGUUUCAAAGGAAAGGAGGCCUUUGCACCAACAUGUCCUCGCUGGGGAUGGGGCGGGGCGGGGCGGGGUGAAGAAGGCUGUUUCGGCCAAAAAUGGAAGAUGGCUAUUGAGGGGUUAGGGGGGUAGGUGACCACAGAAGGCAAGACUCCUGCAGGGGUCAGGGAGGUCAAAAGCCAGCAGGAACCUAAGAGUUCAACUGGAUUCCUUUUUCUCCAUGCCCUGUUGCUUGGCCUGGGCCAUAGAAGUGAAAAGAAUGAAGAAAACAAAUAGUCGCCACCUACCCACCAUUUGCCAGGCCCUUACCAAGUAGUUCCUACAAUUUUGUUUACUUCUCUUGACAACCCAGUGCCCUUAUCCCCAGUUCUCUAGAUUAGCUCUGAGAGGUCAAGUAACUUGUUCAGGUUCAUGCAUUAAGUGGCAGAGUCUGGACUGGGGCCCGGGUACAUCUGACUCAAAGCUUGUGCUUUUUCCAUUUUUUCAUAUUGCCUGGAGGAGAGAGUAGAGGAUAGUUAGAAAGAAAGGGAGGGAGUAGGGUGUAUAGCUCAAGGACAGGGCGGGCCUUUCCUAACAGGGCUGGAAGGUUCUAGAAUGCCCCAGAACAAAGCUGUCAGCUGAGAGACUGUUACCAUUGGAUCACUCACCCUGACACCCCAGUAGUUCUCACUCCCUGUGUGCAAGGCUCCAUGGCUCAACUCAUAGUCUGGGUGAGGAGGAGGAAAUUGUCUUGUGAUAUUACAAUUAUUCAUCCAUCACUUCAUCGUCAAAGAACUUAGAGUGUGAAACAUUAUCCAUUUCCCUUUUGUAAGUUGCUAGGUCGAAUGUCAGGGUUGCCAUUGGUCAUCUUGGUCUAUGGAGGGAAAACAGCCUGACCACUGCCUCAAGUCAUAAGAGGGACAAGAAAAGGAUGUAACUCAGGACUCUAGACUCCAAGUUCUAGUGUUUUAGAUGCUUACCAAAUGCUAAGUUAUAGGGCUACAAUUAGCUCUUAAUUCUCUAUGCCCAUGACAGAAAAUAGAUGUGCAAAUAAAUAAAAAUGAUUUUGCUUUGGAGUAUACAAUACUACAUUUCUGCAGAAGAUGUGACAGUGAGUAUGGUAAUCAUCGCCGCAACAAGACGGUGCAUCGCCUCAAUAUCAGGGAAGACUUUGCAGAAGUCAAGGCUGACUGUUUUGUAGAAUUCACUCUAAUAAAGGAGAUAUAAACCACAA